RNAcentral lists this non-coding RNA (30 nucleotides) under Homo sapiens (human). The record is from RNAcentral. Lineage: Eukaryota; Metazoa; Chordata; Mammalia; Primates; Hominidae.
UCGGAACCUGCAGGCACUCGUGGAGGCGUC